AUACAUGCAAGUCGAGCGGUCCUUCGGGACAGCGGCGAACGGGUUAGUAACGCGUGGGAACGUGCCCUUUAGUACGGAAUAGCCAUUGGAAACGAUGAUUAAUACCGUAUACGCCCCAAGGGGGAAAGAUUUAUCGCUAAAGGAUCGGCCCGCGUUAGAUUAGGUAGUUGGUAGGGUAAUGGCCUACCAAGCCGACGAUCUAUAGCUGGUUUGAGAGGAUGAUCAGCAACACUGGGACUGAGACACGGCCCAGACUUCUACGGAAGGCAGCAGUAGGGAAUCUUGGACAAUGGGCGAAAGCCUGAUCCAGCCAUGCCGCGUGAGUGAUGAAGGCCCUAGGGUUGUAAAGCUCUUUCGCCAGGGAAGAUAAUGACGGUACCUGGUAAAGAAACCCCGG
RNAcentral lists this ribosomal RNA (397 nucleotides) under uncultured Alphaproteobacteria bacterium. Its description in RNAcentral is "bacterial SSU rRNA". It matches the Rfam family "Bacterial small subunit ribosomal RNA", at positions 51 to 496 of the family's 1533-position model. Lineage: Bacteria; Pseudomonadati; Pseudomonadota; Alphaproteobacteria. The record is from RNAcentral.